This 369-nucleotide ribosomal RNA is filed under the name uncultured bacterium. RNAcentral's name for it is "bacterial SSU rRNA". It matches the Rfam family "Bacterial small subunit ribosomal RNA", at positions 432 to 793 of the family's 1533-position model. The record is from RNAcentral.
ACUGUUGUAAGGGAAGAACGUUAUUAGUAGGAAAUGGCUAAUAAGUGACGGUACCUUACCAGAAAGGGACGGCUAACUACGUGCCAGCAGCCGCGGUAAUACGUAGGUCCCGAGCGUUAUCCGGAAUUAUUGGGCGUAAAGGGCACGUAGGCGGACAAAUAAGUUUGAUGUCAAAUAUGAUGGCUCAACCAUCAAGAGGCGUUGAAAACUGUUUAUCUAGAAUCUCGGAGAGGUAAGUGGAAUUCCAUGUGUAGCGGUGGAAUGCGUAGAUAUAUGGAGGAACACCAAUGGCGAAGGCAGCUUACUGGACGAAGAUUGACGCUGAGGUGCGAAAGCGUGGGUAGCAAACAGGAUUAGAUACCCUGGUAG